AAGAGACAGCAGCAGCCGCGGUAAUACAUAGGGGGCGAGCGUUAUCCGGAAUUAUUGGGUGUAAAGGGUGCGUAGGCGGAAGAUUAAGUUUUAGGUAUAAAUGUGCUGCUCAACGGCGUAUUGCUUAAAAAACUGGUCAACUAGAGUGAGGCAGAGGCAAGUGGAAUUCCAUGUGUAGUGGUAAAAUGCGUAAAUAUAUGGAGGAACACCAGUGGCGAAGGCGGCUUGCUGGGCCUAAACUGACGCUCAUGCACGAAAGCGUGGGGAGCAAACAGGAUUAGAUACCCCAGUAGUCCCUGUCUCUUAUACA
RNAcentral lists this ribosomal RNA (310 nucleotides) under uncultured bacterium. Its description in RNAcentral is "partial 16S ribosomal RNA". It matches the Rfam family "Bacterial small subunit ribosomal RNA", at positions 503 to 808 of the family's 1533-position model. The record is from RNAcentral.